GGCAGAGACAGGCUGUUGGUACCACUGGGCAGCUGAGGCGCUCAGGCUCCAGGGAGGGGAAACCUGAGCUGUGAGAGAGACCAUCAGAGGACCAGGGGAGCCAUCACUCAUGCCCCGUUUGUUCCAUUCGGGAAUUACUUCUUGCCUAUGAACUCCUAAAGAUCCUCCAGACUACUAGGCCCACCUGUGUGCUCUCAAGCAGUUUUCUGGAGUUGAAAUUAUCUCUGUUAGCCAGCCGUAUCACAUGAACAGCAUCAGCAGCCACAGCAUCAGGAGGUUUGAUUCCUGCUGAUCCUGUGCACUUAGCUAUAACUUUAUCGAUACACUUCUUGUGGAUUGCCGCAUUACACUCUGGAAAGAAAUGAUUGCCGCUUAAGAUUUUCAGAAGUGAAGGAACAAUUAAAUACAAAGAAUGACAGUAAUACAACAGAGACCCUUCUUACUUACGUCGACACUGGUAGCCUUGUUUGUUCAGACCCCUGCAAUAAAGCAGAUGUUUGAUUUAUUUGGAUGUUCGAGUCAACAGCAUCACAAACAUUAAAAGGUAAGCAAGAUCUCAUAGCUUCCUACUAUCAGAGCAUUUACUGAUCAGCAGCCCUGGUCUAUCACUGGCCAAGAGUGUUAAUAUAUUUGUUUGUUUGUUUGUUUUUUAACGUUUAUUUAUUUUUGAGACAGAGAGAGACACAGCAUGAACGGGGGAGGGGCAGAGAGAGAGGGGAACACAGAAUCGGAAGCAGGCUCCAGGCUCUGAGCCAUCAGCCCAGAGCCCAACGCGGGGCUCAAACCCGCGGACCGCGAGAUCGUGACCUGAGCCGAAGUCGGACGCCCAACCGACUGAGCCACCCAGGCGCCCCUGUUUGUUUGUUUUUUAAGCUGCUUUGUUAAAAGUCUGAUAGUUAAAUAAACGAGGAGCUUUUGUUUUCCCCCUCACUUGUGAAUUUUCCAAACCAACACGUAGAGAUGAAAAUGACUGACUGAAAAUGCAUC
Molecule: long non-coding RNA, 987 nt
Organism: Neofelis nebulosa (Clouded leopard)
Lineage: Eukaryota; Metazoa; Chordata; Mammalia; Carnivora; Felidae
Exons: 3
Source: RefSeq, a predicted model, not a curated record